AAAGGGGACGCGGUCAGAGUGGCAGCUCGCGGGGUGGCCCCCGCUCCGGCUCCGCCCCAUUUCACGCACCUCGCCCCUCCCCAUGCUUCAUCCCGCAGCCCCGGGGCCGCGCCGCAGAGUCGGGCUUCCUGGAUACAUAGAGGCUUGUGCCAGGCCGGGUGGGAAGACUGGAUUUUGCAGUGGAAGCAGCAUCUCUUCCGUCUGGGACCUGGCUGAGGGCGUCCCCACCCUGGGGGGAGCAGAGGACCAGCCCUGACCUAGCCGGGCCCAGCCUCGUCCUGCCCGGCCUGAGCGCCCCGCCCAGCAGCCGGCCCUGGCCCACCGGGGUCCGGGAGGCUGCACGAAGAGGAGAAAACGGGCACAAGGAUCUGCCAGAAACUCAAGCAGUCCAGCUCGCCCUCUCCACCCGAGGAGCCCCCGGCCCCAAGUUCAACCUCUGUGGAAAAAAUGUUUGGAGGCAAGAUAGUGACUCGGAUCUGCUGUCUCUGCUGCCUCAACGUCUCCUCCCGGGAGGAGGCCUUCACGGACCUCUCUCUCGCCUUUCCUCCCCCUGAGCGCUGUCGCCGCCGCCGCCUGGGCUCUGUGAUGCGCCCCACAGAAGACAUCACAGCCCGGGAGUUGCCCCCACCAAGCAGUGCACAGGGGCCAGGCAGGGUGGGUCCUCGGAGGCAAAGGAAACACUGCAUCACAGAGGACACCCCCCCCACCAGCCUGUACAUCGAAGGCCUGGACUCCAAGGAAGCUGGUGGGCAGAGCAGUCAGGAGGAAAGGGUAGAGAGGCAGGAAGAAGGGAAGGAGGAGAGAACGGAGAAGGAAGAAGUGGGGGAGGAGGAGGAAAGCACCAGAGGGGAAGAAGAGAGGGAGAAAGAGGAGGUGGAAGAGGAAGAAGAGAAGGUGGAGAAGGAGACAGAAAAGGAGGCUGAGCAGGAAAAGGAAGAAGACAGCCUGGGAGCGGGGACCCACCCGGAUGCUGCCAUCCCCUCCGGGGAGCGGACAUGUGGCUCUGAGGGCUCCCGCUCCGUCCUGGACCUGGUUAACUACUUCCUGUCCCCCGAGAAGCUGACAGCAGAAAACCGCUACUACUGCGAGUCGUGUGCCUCCCUGCAGGAUGCCGAGAAGGUGGUGGAGCUGAGCCAAGGGCCGCGCUACCUCAUCCUCACACUGCUGCGCUUCUCCUUCGACCUGCGCACCAUGCGGCGCCGCAAGAUCCUGGAUGACGUCUCCAUCCCCCUGCUGCUCCGCCUGCCACUGGCUGGUGGCCGUGGCCAGGCCUAUGACCUCUGCAGUGUGGUGGUGCACUCUGGAGUGUCUUCGGAGAGUGGUCACUACUACUGCUAUGCCCGUGAGGGCGCUGCCCGCCCUGCCCCUUCUCUGGGAACUACCGAUAGGCCAGAGCCCGAGAACCAGUGGUACCUGUUCAAUGACACUCGGGUGUCCUUCUCUUCCUUCGAAUCUGUCAGCAACGUCACUUCCUUCUUCCCUAAGGACACAGCCUAUGUGCUGUUUUACCGGCAGCGGCCCAGGGAGGGGCCCGAGGCUGAGUCGGGCUCUUCUAGAGUCCGGACAGAGCCCACCCUGCACAAGGACUUGAUGGAAGCCAUUUCCAAAGACAACAUCCUUUACCUACAGGAGCAGGAGAAGGAGGCCCGGAGCAGAGCGGCCUACAUCUCUGCACUCCCCACAUCUCCGCACUGGGGGAGGGGCUUUGAUGAAGACAAGGAUGAGGAUGAAGGCUCUCCAGGGGGCUGCAAUCCUGCAGGUGGCAAUGGUGGUGACUUCCACAGACUGGUCUUCUAAUGUGAACCUGCUGCCAACCUGACCCCUUCCCUCCAGGAGCCAGGUAGGGCCUGAGGGAAGCUGUGGAGGCAGGCCCUACCAAGAGGAAGGAUGGUACAGCUCAUGGCACCUUAGUCCUCAGCCUGAUGAAGGGUACACAGAGAUUCUCUCAGAUAUGGAAGUAAGAAAGACCUAAGUCCCUUUCAUUGGGGAUCAGUCCCAUUAAAACUUUACACCCAAGUGUCCUGGUUAACUUGAAGCAGCUGAGAUGGGCACACACGGGUCUUUGCCUCCCCCUCCUUCCCUAGCAGGCUCCCCAUGCGGGAAGAUCUGAUGAUGUUCAGGAAACA
This 2126-nucleotide small RNA is filed under the name Pan troglodytes (chimpanzee). Its description in RNAcentral is "processed transcript". The record is from RNAcentral. Lineage: Eukaryota; Metazoa; Chordata; Mammalia; Primates; Hominidae.